This 496-nucleotide ribosomal RNA is filed under the name uncultured bacterium. RNAcentral describes it as "partial 16S ribosomal RNA". It matches the Rfam family "Bacterial small subunit ribosomal RNA", at positions 28 to 506 of the family's 1533-position model. The record is from RNAcentral.
GAUGAACGCUGGCGGCGUGCCUAAUACAUGCAAGUCGAGCGAACAGACGAGGAGCUUGCUCCUCUGACGUUAGCGGCGGACGGGUGAGUAACACGUGGAUAACCUACCUAUAAGACUGGGAUAACUUCGGGAAACCGGAGCUAAUACCGGAUAAUAUAUUGAACCGCAUGGUUCAAUAGUGAAAGACGGUUUUGCUGUCACUUAUAGAUGGAUCCGCGCCGCAUUAGCUAGUUGGUAAGGUAACGGCUUACCAAGGCAACGAUGCGUAGCCGACCUGAGAGGGUGAUCGGCCACACUGGAACUGAGGCACGGUCCAGACUCCUACGGGAGGCAGCAGUAGGGAAUCUUCCGCAAUGGGCGAAAGCCUGACGGAGCAACGCCGCGUGAGUGAUGAAGGUCUUCGGAUCGUAAAACUCUGUUAUUAGGGAAGAACAGAUGUGUAAGUAACUAUGCACGUCUUGACGGUACCUAAUCAGAAAGCCACGGCUAACUACGU